AGAGUUUGAUCAUGGCUCAGAACGAACGUUGGCGGCGUGCUUAACACAUGCAAGUCGAACGAGAAAGUUCCUUCGGGAAUGAGUAAAGUGGCGCACGGGUGAGUAACGCGUAAGUAAUCUACCUUUGCAUUUGGAAUAACUACGGGAAGCUGUAGCUAAUACCGAAUACGUUCAUAUAGUUACGACUAUAUGAAGAAAGAUGACCUCUUCUUGAAAGUUAUCGUGCAGAGAGGAGCUUGCGUACCAUUAGCUAGUUGGUAGGGUAAUGGCCUACCAAGGCAACGAUGGUUAGCGGGUCUGAGAGGAUGAUCCGCCACACUGGAACUGGAACACGGACCAGACUCCUACGGGAGGCAGCAGUGAGGAAUAUUGCGCAAUGGGGGAAACCCUGACGCAGCGACGCCGCGUGGAUGAUGAAGGCCUUAGGGUCGUAAAAUCCUGUCAGAUGGGAAGAAAUGUACGAGGGAACAAUACCCCUUGUGCUUGACGGUACCAUCAAAGGAAGCACCGGCUAACUCCGUGCCAGCAGCCGCGGUAAUACGGAGGGUGCAAGCGUUAUUCGGAAUCACUGGGCGUAAAGGACGCGUAGGCGGGAAGCCAAGUCUGAUGUGAAAUCCUAUGGCUCAACCAUAGAACUGCAUUGGAAACUGNCUACCUAGAGUAUGGGAGGGGGAGAUGGAAUUAGUGGUGUAGGGGUAAAAUCCGUAGAUAUCACUAGGAAUACCGAAAGCGAANGCGAUCUCCUGGAACAAUACUGACGCNAGGNGUGAAAGCGUGGGGAGCAAACGGGAUUAGAUACCCCNGUAGUCCACGCCCUAAACGAUG
Molecule: ribosomal RNA, 825 nt
Filed under: uncultured bacterium
Lineage: Bacteria
Description: bacterial SSU rRNA
Rfam family: Bacterial small subunit ribosomal RNA
Source: RNAcentral